CAGUCGCCACGGGAAUACAGAGGGUGCGAGCGUUAAUCGGAUUUACUGGGCGUAAAGCGUGCGUAGGCGGCUUUUUAAGUCGGAUGUGAAAUCCCUGAGCUUAACUUAGGAAUUGCAUUCGAUACUGGGAAGCUAGAGUAUGGGAGAGGAUGGUAGAAUUCCAGGUGUAGCGGUGAAAUGCGUAGAGAUCUGGAGGAAUACCGAUGGCGAAGGCAGCCAUCUGGCCUAAUACUGACGCUGAGGUACGAAAGCAUGGGGAGCAAACAGGAUUAGAUACCCCAGUAGUCCCUGUCUCUUAACA
RNAcentral lists this ribosomal RNA (301 nucleotides) under uncultured bacterium. RNAcentral's name for it is "partial 16S ribosomal RNA". It matches the Rfam family "Bacterial small subunit ribosomal RNA", at positions 509 to 808 of the family's 1533-position model. The record is from RNAcentral.